This 4544-nucleotide long non-coding RNA is filed under the name Sus scrofa (pig). RNAcentral's name for it is "lncRNA (ENSSSCG00000042384.2)". The record is from RNAcentral. Lineage: Eukaryota; Metazoa; Chordata; Mammalia; Artiodactyla; Suidae.
AUGUCAUUCUUUUUUAUGGCUGAGUAGUAUUCUAUUGUGUAUAUAUACCACAUCUUCCUAAUCCAAUCAUCUGUCAGUGGACAUUUGGGUUGUUUCCAUGUCUUGGCUAUUGUGAAUAGUGCUGCAAUGAACACGUGGGUUGCACGUGUCUUUUUUAAGGAAAGUUUUGUCCAGAUAUAUGCCCAAGAGUGGGACUGCUGUGUCAUAUGGUAGUUAUAUGUAUAGUUUUCUAAGGUACCUGCAUGCUGUUCUCUACAGUGGCUGUACCAGCUUACAUUCCCACCAACAGUGCGGGAGGUGGAACCCUGAUUUUAAAUCACGGUUAAGGAAAUGUUAGUCCCUCUCCCAAAAAGAAUUUCAUUCUUAUCAGUAGUCCUCUGUUACAAAGUAUUAUGCUCAAUUAUUAUCAUAUUUUGAGUUUUGUCCCCAAAGAAAUGAAAAUAAGGUUUUUUUUUCUCUUGCUAUAUGAGUAUCUACAUAAUAUUUUUGUUUUGCCUCCUGGCCCACAAAGCCCAGAGUAUUUACUAUCUGGUCCACAGAGAAAGUUUGUGGACAUCUGCUGUAUGAUAAGGUUUUACUUGAGCUGUCCUUUAGGAUUUAUCAUGUUUUUUUUCUUCCCUACCAUCUCCUAUGGUCUGUGCAGCUUUAUGAAGUGGUUAAAACAGAUACCAUUAUCUUUAUUUCAUGCAGAGAUUUUUCAAGUUGAGAGAAAUUGAGAAGUAUGUCCUGUUACUUGAGUAGUCCUUGGAGUUUUGGGACUAACCAUCACUGAACCAUCAUAGCCACUGCUUGUGGGUAAAAUACUGCUGUGCUUUGAAGGCCAUGGAGAUGCUGGUCAAAUAAUCCUGUUUGAGAGGAGAUGGUAGACUCAUAUACCUGGGAAGCAAAGGGUCUUCUGUGAGAGGAAGAAUCAGAACCACAGGUCCUGCCUCUGGAGAUUCAAGGUCUGGGACACCUGGUGUGGUUGGUGCAUAUUCAGUGCUUGGCUUGCCUGAAUAGGGAUGUUCCUUUUGACCCAGUGGUGUGGUUAAAUUGCACCCUGCCCCCCGCCCCCGUAGGUGUUGAGGUCCCAGCCCCCAGUACCUGUGAGUGUGGCCUUAAUGGAAAUAGUGUCUUUAGGAAAGUAAGCCAGUCCAAAGGAAGUCAUGAGGGUGGGCCCAAAUCCAAGAAGGUUGGUAUCCUUAUAAAAGGGGUAAUUGGGACACAGAGAUGGACACAUAGCGGGAAGACAAUGUGAGGGCAUGGGGAGAGCAUCAUCUUAAAGCCAAGGAAUGCCUGAAGCCACCAGAAGCCAGGAGAGGGGCCUGUGCAGAUCCUGCCUCACAAGCCUCAGAAAGAACUAGCAUUGCCAACAUCUUGGUCUUGGCCAUCCAGCCUCCAGAACUGGGAGAAAAUACGUUUCUGUUGUUAAGCUACCCUGUUGGUGCUGCUUUGUUAUAGCUGCCCUAGGAAAUUCGUUUACCCAUAGCCUGGCGGGGUGGGUAUGCCUUGGAGAUAGUUGUGACAGGAAAGUGAAGAGCUUAGCCAUAGUGGCCCAAGUGGGUCCUGACCCUGGGCUGGGCAGUCCUGACUCAGCAGGCAAGCAUGGCAAGUCACAGCAGGUAGGACUGGAGAGAGGAGCAUCCACAGCCUCUGUGUGACGCUGAGUGGCAUCCUUGGCCGUGACCGCAUCUGACUCUGGGUCCCUGCACCGUCUUGAACCUACAAAUGCCUUUGGACUUGUGGAUCAUUUGCUGGAUACUGCUUGAGAGGGAAUUACCAGAUGGCUGGUUAAUGGAGCAGGUUAAAUAUUCAAAGAAGUUAUUAAAAGAGAUGUGACUCCCUUUGUAUUUCUAGGUUGAGAACUAGCUCAUCCAGUUAAAUUCACAAGAGAGACCUCAGUCAUCUGCAGGUUCUGAAACCAUUCAAGUGACAGAGCCACCGAGGAGUCACAGACACCUAGACAUAAACAUGGUGUCUGGCCUCUGACCCCGUCCAGAGGCAGCCCACCACAUUGUGGAUUAGUUAUGGGCUUUUGGUUGACUUGUACAUAGUUACAAAGGUGAUCUUCAUCAAAAGACUUAAUUGUAAUGAAUUUCACUAAGAACAGAAAUAUAUUCACUAGGGAAAGGUUUAAGCAUUUCAAAGCCUAUUCACAAUUUAGAACUUUUAUUUGCCAUUUUUAGCUCAUUUUACGACAACUUAUUAAAUUUCUCCAAAGCACUGUUGGUGUUGACAAACAAUAAAUAAGGCUGUUUAAUAUUUCUCAACGUUGUACCCUCAAACUUGAGUUUCUCAGCCUUGGAUGGAAGAUACUUUCUGGCAGGUCUGCUGCAAAUAUGGGCACGCACAUCACCCUCAAUUCUUCUACUCUGUCUGCUCAGCAAAUGACUUCCAGGCAAGAAUAGUGUCCACUUCUAUACUGGGAAUGAGUUUUAAGAUAUCAAAAUGCUAUGUGUUCACCAAGAUAAAUUUAUAUGUACAAAUAAAUUUUAGUUUGAGCCACUCUUGCAUGUCACUCUGGGUCAACAGUUCAGCCAUGAGAACAUUUUCAAAUUUCUCCUGCGUAUUUGGACAUAUUCUGGGAAGCCUACCUGCCUAAAGCACUGAGCAGAGCAAGAUAAUAAUAGCAGCAUCCUUAAAAGCACAAAGUCAAAGCUGGAGUGAACGUGACCCUGCAUGUGUUGCUGGCCACACAGGACCAUGUAUAUUUAGGAGAAUAAGCAAUUGGGGGUCAACUCUAGCUCUAACCUCCUCAGGUCCACUGUUAUCGCAAAAUAAAGGUGGUGAGAGCUUCGUUCCUGUGGGCUAGCAUGGAGCAGUGACCUGUCUGGUUUUAGAUAGUGGCUUAGCUGAGUUUGUCAUGGAUAAAUGUUUCCUUCUCUGAUUCUCUCUCCUCUCCCUCUCCUCCUGCAGUUUGACUUACUGAAGUAAAACCCAAGGGAAAGGGAGCAGACACAGAGGGCCCUCAUGAAAGAGGACACAGAGCAGAAGCAGCGAAAGUCCAGGGCACCACUAACAUGUGAUGCAGAGGUCAAGAUUCCUGCCCUAUGUGGGAUGGGAAACAAACAGCUUAAAUUAAGGGAACUAGAAGUUCCCAGCUCAUAGUAGGGAGGCCAGGUUAUGGAGGGAGCAGCCUUCAUAAGAUGGAGAUAGUUUCGCUGCUAGUGCAGCCUUGCUCAGGAAGCUCUUGAUUGUAUAUCCUCACAGCCUGGGCUUCUACUACUUGUCUGUAAACACAAGGGCCUGUGUUCAGAGUUUUCCCGAGGGUCUGGUGUGAGAGAGAUUGUGAGUGUGGGAGUGUACAUGUGUGAGAAGUGCUGUGCAUUGGAGGAAGGAGGGGGAGGAGGGUAGUAAUGAACAGACCAGUGGAUUCAAGCUCAUUUUUCUAAAAAUCAUAGUCAAAAGUUAUGGAUUACAGACCACAUGCCUGGCUCUGGUAGAUGAUGUAGCAGCCUGGGUCUGAGGGCCAUCUGGAGGCUGGAUUUCUCCUUUCUCAGGGGACCCCCAUCUUUCCAUUUAGCUCUUCAACUGAUUGGAUGAGGCCCAUCCACAUCAAUAUGGAUUAUUUCACUUAGUCUGUACUGUAAUUUCACAAAGCAAAUAGUAUUGUCAUCAUUUUAUGGAUGAGGAAACAGGUUUAGAGAAUGUAUUAGAGGUCUUUGGAGAAACAUAACUAAUAAGGUAUGUGUGUGUACAACUCUAUCUUUCUCUGUCUCUCCAUCCAUCCAUCUAUCCAGCCAUCUGUCUAUUAUCUAUCUGUCUGUCUGUCUAUCUAUCUAUCUAUCUAUCUAUCUAUCUAUCAGAAUUGGCUCACACACUCGUGGGGGCUGGCCAGUCCAAAAGCUGCAGGGCAGACGGGCCAGCUGAGAAACAGAAGAAUUGAUGUUGCACCUUAAGUCUGAGGACCAUCUGGAGGCAGAAUCUCUUCUUUCUCAGGAGACCUCAGUCUUUCUCUUAAGGUUUUCAGUUGAUUGAAUGAGGCUCACUCAUGUGAUGGAGGGUGAUCUGUUUUACUCAGAGUCUACAGAUUUGCAUGUUAAUCACACCUAAAAAAUACUUUCACAGCAACAUCUAGGCUGGUGUUGACUAAAUAUACAGGGAUUGAGGCCUAGCCAAGUUGACCCAUAACGUAACCAUCAUGAAGCUCAUGUCAUCAGCCACAAAGAGGCAAGAUUUGCACACUGACAGCCUGUCAUCAGAGCCCAUGGCCUUCCCCUCUACCUUUCCCUUGAUCUGUUUCCCUGGGUGGCUGUGAUGGCCCAACUCCCAGAUGUGUCAGCAGUGAAAUGACCUCACAAUUUCUGCUCUGCCCACUUCCUAGGAGCGUAGUGACCCCGUGGUAAUGUGAGAUGUGAGAAAAUGUCAGUGGCAUUAAAUAUAUGGGGUCAUUUCUUCCCCUGCCCCAUUUAAAAUGAUUUUUUUUUGGGGGGGGGGAGUAGAUCAGUGUAACCCUAUUUAGAGGGCAGCUUGAAAUUAUCUUUUAAUAUAAAAAUGUGAAUUCUCUAUGCUCUGACACUUGUAGGAAUCUUAUUUUACAAAUGAAUAAAGACAUAAAAAUACAA